ACCAGGUGUCCCCUGGAGUUCCUCUGAACGCUUCACUGAGGCUCUGUUAUGGCAGAUGAGUUCACUGAAGUGUUUGGAGGAACUCUGGGUGUGGCUUGGU
Molecule: microRNA precursor, 100 nt
Filed under: Linum usitatissimum (flax)
Lineage: Eukaryota; Viridiplantae; Streptophyta; Magnoliopsida; Malpighiales; Linaceae
Description: miR395e stem-loop (lus-MIR395e)
Gene: lus-MIR395e
Rfam family: mir-395 microRNA precursor family
About the family: mir-395 was identified in both Arabidopsis thaliana and Oryza sativa computationally and was later experimentally verified. mir-395 is thought to target mRNAs coding for ATP sulphurylases. The mature sequence is excised from the 3' arm of the hairpin.
Source: miRBase by way of RNAcentral